RNAcentral lists this ribosomal RNA (901 nucleotides) under uncultured bacterium. Its description in RNAcentral is "bacterial SSU rRNA". It matches the Rfam family "Bacterial small subunit ribosomal RNA", at positions 29 to 916 of the family's 1533-position model. The record is from RNAcentral.
AUCGGCGGUGCAGGAGGCUUAACACAUGCAGUCGAACGAGAAAGUACUUCGGUACGAGUAGAGUGGCGACGGGUGAGUAACACGUAGGUGACCUGUCCUUAAGCGGGGGAUAACCAGAAGAAAUUCUGGCUAAUACCGCGUACCGCAAAGCAAAUUUGAAAGUAGCUUUGGAAAGGGUGCUUCGGACUUCGCUUUAGGAGGGGCCUGCGGGACAUUAGCUUGAUGGUGGGGUAACGGCCUACCAUGGCGACGAUGUCUAGCUGGUUUGAGAGAAUGAUCAGCCACACUGGAACUGAGACACGGUCCAGACUCCUACGGGAGGCAGCAGUGGGGAAUAUUGCGCAAUGGAGGAAACUCUGACGCAGCCAUGCCGCGUGAGUGAGGAAGGCCCUCGGGUCGUAAAGCUCUGUCAUUAGGGACAAACGGCCAUUGGUCUAAUAGGCCUUUGGUUUGAUGGUACCUAAAAAGGAAGCACCGGCUAACUUCGUGCCAGCAGCCGCGGUAAUACGAAGGGUGCAAGCGUUGUUCGGAUUUACUGGGCGUAAAGCGCGUGUAGGCGGAUUAAUAAGUCAGAUGUGAAAUCUCGGGGCUCAACUCCGAAACUGCGUCUGAAACUGUUGAUCUAGAGUCUUGGAGGGGGAAGUGGAAUUUCACGUGUAGGGGUAAAAUCCGUAGAGAUGUGAAGGAACACCAGAGGCGAAGGCGACUUCCUGGCCAAGUACUGACGCUGAGACGCGAAAGCGUGGGGGAGCAAACAGGAUUAGAUACCCUGGUAGUCCACCCCGUAAACGAUGAGCACUAGAUAUGGGGGGAUUGACCCCUUCCGUUGUCGUAGCUAACGCAUUAAGUGCUCCGCUUGGGGAGUACGGUCCGCAAGACUAAAACUCAAAUGAAUUGACGG